RNAcentral lists this ribosomal RNA (873 nucleotides) under uncultured bacterium. Its description in RNAcentral is "bacterial SSU rRNA". It matches the Rfam family "Bacterial small subunit ribosomal RNA", at positions 45 to 916 of the family's 1533-position model. The record is from RNAcentral.
UGCCUAAUACAUGCAAGUCGAACGAAUCUCUUUUAGAGAUGAGUGGCGAACGGGUGAGUAAUACAUAGGUAACCUGCCCCUGUGCGGGGGAUAACAGGAGGAAACUCCUGCUAAUACCGCAUAGCCAUGAGCACCGCAUGGAGCUCAUGCCAAAUAUCCUUUCGGGGAUAGCGCAGGGAUGGACCUAUGGCGCAUUAGCUUGUUGGCGGGGCAACGGCCCACCAAGGCAACGAUGCGUAGCCGGCCUGAGAGGGCGGACGGCCACAUUGGGACUGAGACACGGCCCAGACUCCUACGGGAGGCAGCAGUAGGGAAUUUUCGGCAAUGGGGGAAACCCUGACCGAGCAACGCCGCGUGAGCGAAGAAGGCCUUCGGGUCGUAAAGCUCUGUUGUAAAGGAAGAACGGCGCAUACAGGAAAUGGUAUGCGAGUGACGGUACUUUACCAGAAAGCCACGGCUAACUACGUGCCAGCAGCCGCGGUAAUACGUAGGUGGCGAGCGUUAUCCGGAAUCAUUGGGCGUAAAGAGGGAGCAGGCGGCCGCAAGGGUCUGUGGUGAAAGACCGAAGCUAAACUUCGGUAAGCCAUGGAAACCGGGCGGCUAGAGUGCGGAAGAGGAUCGUGGAAUUCCAUGUGUAGCGGUGAAAUGCGUAGAUAUAUGGAGGAACACCAGUGGCGAAGGCGACGGUCUGGGCCGCAACUGACGCUCAUUCCCGAAAGCGUGGGGAGCAAAUAGGAUUAGAUACCCUAGUAGUCCACGCCGUAAACGAUGGUCACUAAGUGUCGGGGGUCAAACCCCGGUGCUGCAGUCAACGCAAUAAGUGACCCGCCUGAGUAGUACGUUCGCAAGAAUGAAACUCAAAGGAAUUGACGG